UUUCCGUAGGUGAACCUGCGGAAGGAUCAUUAUCGAUUCAAACCAAAUGAGAGGGAAGUUGUUAUAGUAGUGCUGGCCUCUGUCAUGGAGGUAUUGUGCACGCUCGACUUCUUCCUUUCUUCAUUUACACACCUGUGAACUUGUUGUAGGGUUGUCUCGCAAGAGACGCUCUAUGUCUUUCUCAUAUACUCCAUAAUGUUUAUAGAAUGUACCUUUUUGCUCUUGUCAGAGACAAAAAUAAAGCCUUUAUAACUUUCAGCAACGGAUCUCUUGGCUCUC
RNAcentral lists this unclassified non-coding RNA (279 nucleotides) under plant metagenome. RNAcentral describes it as "partial contains small subunit ribosomal RNA, internal transcribed spacer 1, and 5.8S ribosomal RNA". The record is from RNAcentral.